GAUGAACGCUGGCAGUAUGCUUAACACAUGCAAGUCGAACGGUCACUUCGGUGAUAGUGGCGGACGGGUGAGUAACGCGUGAGAAUCUGUCUUCAGGUCGGGGACAACAGUUAGAAAUGACUGCUAAUACCGGAUGUGCCUUAUGGUGAAAGAUUUAUUGCCUGAAAAAGAGCUCGCGUCAGAUUAGCUAGUAGGUGGUGUAAGAGACUACCUAGGCGACGAUCUGUAGCUGGUCUGAGAGGACGAUCAGCCGCACUGGAACUGAGACACGGUCCAGACUCCUACGGGAGGCAGCAGUGGGGAAUUUUCCGCAAUGGGCGAAAGCCUGACGGAGCAAUACCGCGUGAGGGACGAAGGCUUUUGGGUCGUAAACCUCUUUUAUUAGGGAAGAUUUCAGGACGGUACCUAAUGAAUAAGCAUCGGCUAACUCUGUGCCAGCAGCCGCGGUAAU
This 451-nucleotide ribosomal RNA is filed under the name uncultured cyanobacterium. RNAcentral describes it as "bacterial SSU rRNA". It matches the Rfam family "Bacterial small subunit ribosomal RNA", at positions 28 to 524 of the family's 1533-position model. Lineage: Bacteria; Bacillati; Cyanobacteriota. The record is from RNAcentral.